RNAcentral lists this ribosomal RNA (253 nucleotides) under uncultured bacterium. RNAcentral's name for it is "partial 16S ribosomal RNA". It matches the Rfam family "Bacterial small subunit ribosomal RNA", at positions 524 to 776 of the family's 1533-position model. The record is from RNAcentral.
UACGUAGGGCGCAAGCGUUGUCCGGAAUUAUUGGGCGUAAAGAGCUCGUAGGCGGUUUGUCGCGUCUGUCGUGAAAGCUUGGGGCUUAACCCCAAGUCUGCGGUGGAUACGGGCAGACUAGAGUCAGGUAGGGGAGAACGGAAUUCCCGGUGUAGCGGUGAAAUGCGCAGAUAUCGGGAGGAACACCGGUGGCGAAGGCGGGUCUCUGGGCCUGUACUGACGCUGAGGAGCGAAAGCGUGGGGAGCAAACAGG